This 484-nucleotide ribosomal RNA is filed under the name uncultured bacterium. RNAcentral's name for it is "partial 16S ribosomal RNA". It matches the Rfam family "Bacterial small subunit ribosomal RNA", at positions 28 to 507 of the family's 1533-position model. The record is from RNAcentral.
GAUGAACGCUGGCGGCGGGCCUAACACAUGCAAGUCGAGCGAACGGACGGGGCUUGUUCCUGUCUGAAGUGGGGGGCGGGCGGGUGAUGCACACGAGUCUACCUGGCCGUGGAGACUGACGUACGGUCACGAGAGCGAAUACCGCAUCCGAUAAGAGGGUGAACCUGGGGGAUCUUAGGAGCAAACGCGACUUGAUGACACUAGGUCGUAUUAGCUAGUUGGUGGGGUAAGGGGGUACCAAGGCGACGAUCCGUAACUGAUCUGAGAGGCUGAUCAGCCACACUGGAACUGAGACACGGUCCAGACUCCUACGGGAGGCAGCAGUGGGGAAUAUUGGGCAAUGGGCGAAAGCCUGAUCCAGCCACGCCGCGUGUGUGAAGAAGGUCUUCGGAUCGUAAAGCUCUUUUAGUUGGGAGGAACAGCAGUAUGUUAAUACCUGGCUGUUUUGACGGUACCUACAGAAUAAGCACCGGCUAACUACGUG